RNAcentral lists this unclassified non-coding RNA (4039 nucleotides) under Leishmania donovani. RNAcentral describes it as "gene:LdHU3.35.1410(CDS-product:KRI1-like_family/K RI1-like_family_C-inal_putative)". Lineage: Eukaryota; Euglenozoa; Kinetoplastea; Trypanosomatida; Trypanosomatidae. The record is from RNAcentral.
GUGGACAUCACCGCCAAUCGCAACUGCGCUAUUUGCUGCUGCGUGCGUGUCGUAUAUAGAGAGAAAGGGGAUUCGACUUUGGCACCACCGCCGCCGCACUCAGACUUAAACGCAAGCAUGCGGUUCAGCUGCAGAGAAAGCAAAGGCGUUCACAAGUACAUGCCGCCCACGACCUCGUCCUGCUCUGACUCGGCGAAGGUGCCGCACCGUAUCGUGUUCGAGUCGGAAGACUCGUCCUCGAGUGAUGGCGAAAGGCACAAAUGUGGCGGCGACUCGCUCGCGCGAGAGAUGAAAGCCGCGGCAGAACGGGAGCGUCGCAAGAACCUGCACGCGGAGAGCGGUCGCGCCAGGCCGCCUCGUGCACACCCGCUCGCUCCAUCGGGCGCGUCCACUGUCAAGGCGUCGUCGACCGCGGUGCCGCACACGGCAGAAAAGACAGACCUGUUCGGCAGUGACUCCUCCUCGUCCGACGCGGAGACAGAGGACGAAGCGAAAGAUGCGAUCAAGCCAGCAACGGGGGAGUCGAGUCGGCAAACGUCCACGGCCGCGUCCCUCACGCCAGCAUACGCGCGUGGCAAGGCAGACGGCGCCGCCAGCAAAACGGCACACGUGCAGGGCCUCUCCUUUCGGCGGGUCCAGGACGGCGAAGCAAACGGCAAGAAGCAUCUGCUGACAGGGGGCACUGAGGGUGGUGACGACGAGGAAAGCAGCAGCAGCGAGGACGUCGGGCUGCACAUUAACAAAGCGUACGCGGCGCGUUACGAAGAGCAGAAGCGUAAGCAGGAGCUCCACACGCUGACGGAGAAGUACAAGGGGAAGCUUGGCAAGGCCGCCGCUCUCGGCUUCGACUGUGACGACGACGAAAAGGGUGAGAAGGACAGUUCUGAUGACGAGGAGUUUGAGGAAGACGACGAUGCGCUGCUCCUCACUCAUGAGAACAACCUCAGCUUUGCCAAGGCUCUGUUGGCCGUGCGCAAAGCCACGGUGCCGCUCCGCGUCAGCAAUAGCGCCAAGAAGGGCAAAACGGCCGCAGUGGCUUCUGCUGCCCACGAUGAGGACUCCCCUUCAUCACCCGCCGACUCCGAGCCCACUGCGGAAACCCUACUGCCAAAGGAGGAGCUCCUCAAGCAGCGCUUCUUUCCUCCUGCGGAGGAGCAGAUUCGUGUGAACACUGACGUCUUCGAGCGACGCAUGGCGCAGAAGCGGCGCAAAGCCGCUGGCAAGAGCAAGUUCACACUCGCCGACGAGUACAAGCGCGCCCUCGAGGCCACCGCUGGGUCGGAGGAUGCCGUGGUGGACGACUCCAACGAGGCAGGCGAGCGCGACGGGCUGCGAAAGCUGCGACCGCAGAACGCAGAGGAAGCAAAGCUCCGCGCUGCUUUCUUGCGCAAUGUGGAGGACAGCACCAACACCUUUGAAGUGGUCCGCGGCGCCACCUCAGCAUACGCGUCAGCACCAGCGGCGUCCGAUAACGGCGAGGACAGCGCAGACGAAGACGAGCAGCAGCGCGGAGCCAGUGAGGAAGAGAAGCGCUUGCUGGAGGAGGCGUUCGCGCUGAGCAUAUCCGCUGCGGCUGCCAAGAAGAGUGGGAAGAAGCAGCAGGGCGCCAGCGGCGAUGGCAACGAAACUGAUAGUGAAGCGUUCCUGCGCGACUUCUUCAUCCAGGAACUCUGGCGCCCUGGCGCGACUCGGAAGAAGAGCAGGGCGCACAAAGCCAGCACCGACAGUGGCGAGGAGGCAGAGGGCAGCGACGGAGAUGCCGAAGGAGACGAUUCGGCCGGCUCAUACUACAACCGCCUCGCCCAACUCGCCCGCGAGGAGGAGGACGAGGCCUUCUUCAACAAUGCGGAGGUGUGGGAGCGGGAGUACCAAGAGAAGAAGUACCGCCACCAAGAAGCGGAAGAGGAAGCGGCCAACGGCGGUGCGUCGGCAGCGCACGUGCAGACAUUUCCUCGCCCCAUUGGCGAGGCAGCGACGGGGCUCCUCCGCAAGCCGGAUACCACACGCAAGGACGCGCGGCAGCGGCGCCGCGAGCGCGCAGAGGCGGCUCGUGCACAGCAGGUCGAGGAGCUGAAGCGACUGAAGCACCUGAAGCGGAAGGAGAUCGAAGACCAGCGCGCCCUCAUCGCGUCCGUCGCCGGCUUGAAAGCGGCGACCACCGCGAGGUUUGGCGGGGAUGAGAAAGAGGAGGCUCAGCUGGCCAAGCUGAAGGCGGUGUGGUCGGACAAAGACCUCGACGCCCCAUUCGACCCGGCGGAGUUCGACCGCAAGAUGGCGCAGCUCUUCGACAGCGAUUACUACGACGAGAGGAACGUCGACGAGGAUGAGAUUGCGUACUUUGACGAAGAGCUCGACAAGGAGUCUGGCGAGGACGACGAUGGCACGGCAGAGGCCAUCCGGUCGGGCGAGGCUCCCGCGCUGUUUGCGGCGAACUCACUGGAGGAGGCACAGUCGAUGAUGCCGGCCGUCUUGGCGGCGAAGGCGAAGAAGAAAGGGAAGAGCACCGAGGUCUUCUUCCACGAUGACUUCGGACCCUCAUCGGAAGCCGGUGCCACGGACGCGCUCUCUCUCCUCUACCCUUCAGAGGCACUGCAGCAGCUGGAGAAGGAGCAGCAGCAGCUAAAUGACCUGAUCGCCUCCACUACCGGGAAGAGCGAGACCGACGCUGAGCUGAUGGAGCGCCUGCAAGCGUCCCUGAAGCAGAAGGAAGAAGAAUACUAUCAGCUGCACCGCGAUGUCGGCGCAACAUCGUCAGGCGGCGCAGGCGCGGGCGUCAGCGGCGGCUUCCGGUACCGUGAGGUGCCUGCAGAGGACUUUACACUGUCUGUCGAGGAAAUCUUGGCUCUCGAUGAUCGGCAGUUAAACAUGAUUGCUCCCAUGAACUGCUAUGCGGCGUACCUCGACAAGGACAGCAACGAGCGGGACCGUCGUCGUAUUGAGCGCCGCCGGCAGAAGGGCUUCCGCCAGGUGGACUCCGACCGCACCUCGCGACGCUAUGGAAACGUGAAGAGCACUUCUCUGUUGAACCCGGAGCAAAUAAACGAUGAGGAGGGCAAGGCGAUUGCGGCGAACCUCUCUAAGCGCCUACGCGAGGAAGGCGAAGACCCCGAUGCGCCGCUGGAGAUGCCAAACUACAAGCGAAGCCGAGGCCGCGGCAGACGUGGCGCACCGGUCGACUUGUCGCGUGGUGCGUCGUCCUCUCGAGGCAAGUGGCCACGCACGGAAGGUCGUGGCCGUGGCCGUGGCAGCGGUCGAGGGGGCUUUUUUCCGUCCGUUCGCGGCGGCAAAGGAGGGCGAGGCCGUGGUAGGCACUAAUCGAGUGCGUUCUUCGGGCCCGGCAUCCUUCGCUCUCCUCACUGCACGCUGCCUUUUAUGCACACGCGCACGGUGAGAGAGACAACUUAACGGCCAUGCCCCUCUGUGAGUGUUGGAAGGGUGAUGCCUUUUGUGGAACGUUGGCGCUGAGCUUCUUUUUGUCGGUGCUUUCCUUCGUUUGCUUCGUCUUGGACCUAACGAGUAACGCCACGCAGCCCGUUGCUCGGGACUCUUUCGCCGUGGUGCACUGACACGCAUGCACACACAGAUGCGCAGUGGUAAACUAACUUGAAGAAUGCAACCCACUGAUCAACAGCAAACCGGGUUACCCCCGCGCCCGUUUCUCGACUGCUGCAGCGGUGUUGCAAGGACGUCCCUCUCCCCCUCCCCGUGUCGACAACGCGAAUGUCGUGCGCGGCAAGCCGCACUCAUGGGUGUCCAAUGAAGCGGAAGAAAACACGGCGGUGCUGCUGUGCGUGUGUACACACAUCGGUCGUCUCUGCUGCGUUGCUCCCCACCGCUGGCCAACCCUCGACAAGUGGAAGGCGGGUCUCAUGGAGUUUUGCGCUGGAUCGCACUGCCAAAGCCGCUUGUGCCUGGUGUUUCUUUUUUGCUUAUCAGCGUGGAAUGUCGUCUUCUACCAUAUUCUUUGUAAUUCCUUCUUCUUUCGCACCCGCUGCGCAUGCCCGCUCAAACACCCUCUCACACACGCACACGGGGGGAG